GUGGGAGGGGGCUUGCCCCCGAUAGCGGCGGGUCAGUCACCUCAAUGGUUGCUGAUACACCGCAAUCGGGGGCAAGCCCCCUCCCAC
Molecule: non-coding RNA, 87 nt
Filed under: Pseudomonas poae
Lineage: Bacteria; Pseudomonadati; Pseudomonadota; Gammaproteobacteria; Pseudomonadales; Pseudomonadaceae
Source: RNAcentral